This is an RNA transcript of Fundulus heteroclitus (mummichog), 5486 nucleotides long. RefSeq lists it as uncharacterized. The record is from RefSeq and is a predicted model, not a curated record. NCBI's taxonomy places the organism in Eukaryota, Metazoa, Chordata, Actinopteri, Cyprinodontiformes, Fundulidae. The transcript has 6 exons.
AAUAAUGGUAGAACCGAGGAAGCUGGUGCUUUCGGAAGAGGUUUGCUUGUUUUUAUUUCUGUUGGUUUAAUAUUUGGUGUAAUAAGAAGUUUAAGCCAAAGUUAAUGGUGUGACAAGGAGAUCCCCGGCCACAAUCCAAUUGACAUAGGAGGAUGGAGGCUAAAUAAACCCAGAAGGACGCUGAAUCUUUGCUUAAGGAUCGAUGAGAGAGCGAGACCGAAGGACAAAAUAAAGCAAAUAAGGAGGAUCUUUUUGAAGCGCAGUCCAGACAGGCUCUGCUUUUAAUGUUCCUGCUGAAACAAACAUUUUCAUGAAGCCCUCCUGCAACAGCACCAGUGGAUUCAGCCUGCACAUCAUAAAUUCUAAGUUUUUAAAACAUUGUCAGAUAUGAACAAGAAAAGAAGAAUUUCAGAUGGAUCCAGGAUGUCUGAGAUGAUGAAGGUUGAAGCAGAUCAGCCUGGAGGGCUCAGCUUGGUGUCUCCCAUACCUGCAGCAUCGUCAUCAGAAUCUGAGCAGAAACAAGACAGCAAAACUCUUAUGUUACGUGAAGAUGUCCAACAGCACACUGUAAUCAAAGAAGAGGUUUCCUGGAACACUACUUUAGACCAGCACAGUUCAGAGCCUGAGCAGAUAAAAGUGGAAGAGGAAGAACUCCGGAUCAGUCAGGAGGAAAAACAGCAUAAUGAGGAACUGGGUACAGAUAUCAAUGAAUUCCCCUUUACAGUUGUUACUGUGAAAAGUGAAGUUAAUGAAGAAAAGCCUCAGAUCUCAGAGCUUAUUCAAAUUAAAACUGAAGACAGCAGAAAACCAGAACUUCCAACCAGGAAGUCAACCGAAGAGGUAAAAACAGAAAGAGAGGAAAAGAACAAUGAGGGACCACAACCCACUAAAGAUCCAGCUCAACUUAGUCAUUCACUACCAAAGACAUAUGAAAAGACUUUAGACUCGUCCAACUCUACUGAAACUGAAGCCAGUGAUGAUGAAUAUUGGCAGAAAUCUUCUGAUUCUGAACCUGAAACUGGAGAUGAAGAUGGAGAUGGAGAUCCAUCUGCACCAGUAUCAGCUGAAAUUGAUACUCUAAGCGGGAACUCUGUAAAAAUCACCUUCAGCUGCUCUGUGUGUAAUAAGCAGUUUGGUUCAAAGUGUAAUCUCAAAACACACAUGCGAGUGCAUACAGGAGAGAAACCAUUUGGCUGUGAUGACUGUGGGAAACGAUUUACCCAAAACGCAAAUCUCCUGAAACACAGGCUCAUCCACACAGGAGAGAAACCAUUUGUCUGUGAUAUAUGUGGUAAAAGAUUUAGUCAGAACUCAGCGCUCAAAACACACAUGACUGUCCACACAGGAGAGAAACCACUUAGCUGCUAUGUCUGUGGGAAAAGACUUGCUACAACCUCAAAUCUUAGAGCUCACCUGAGUGUCCAUACUGGAGAGAAACCAUUCAGCUGUGAGGUGUGUGGGAAAAGAUUUAAUAAAAGAGCAAAUCUUCGGGCACACAUAACACUCCACACAGGAAAGAAACCAUUUAGCUGCCAUAUCUGUGAUAAAAGAUUUACUCAAAGCUCUAUUCUCAGAAGACACAUGGAGGUCCACACAGGAGAAAGACCAUAUAACUGUGAGGUAUGUGGUCAAAGAUUUGCUACGACUGAAAACCUUGAGGAACAUAUGAACACCCACAUCAAACCAACAGACUGUGACAUUUGUGGUAAAAUGUUUACUAAAACGGCAAAUCUUCUGGCACACAUGAGCACUCACACAGGGGAAAAACCCUUUGGUUGUGAUAUUUGUGGUAAAAGAUUUACUCAGAAUUCAACUCUCAGGAGGCAUAUGAAUGUCCACACAGGAGAGAAACUGUUUGGUUGCAGUGUGUGUGGUAAAACGUUUACUCAAAACUCAACCCUCAGGCGACACAUGAGUGUCCACCCAGGGGAAAAGCAAUUUAGCUGUGAUCUUUGUGGUCAAAAAUUUGUCUCAACAGCAGAUCUCAAAGCACACAUUAGUACCCAUGGAAAAAAACCAUACAGCUGCGAUGAUUGUGGCAAAAGAUUUAUUCGAAUCUCAAACAUGAAGAAACACUUGUGCAUCCAAACAACAAAACUGUCAGUUUCAUGAUCAGGAUGCUGUUCAUCUCUUUAUUUAACAUAAGAUUUGGAUACAUCAUCAGCCUUAUUUGAUCACUUGGGGAUGGUUUGUUUCAAGUUUUUAUGUACAAAAUAUAUUGAUUACUUAUUCCCACUAAUGUGAAGAAAAUAAGCUUAUUUGAGUUGAUGUAAUUUGUAUAUAAGAGAAAUGUCACAAAACAAACAGUAUUUGACCAAGAAGAUAAUCACCUCCUGCUGCCAAGACUCCUCUUAAACUUUUUUCUUAACACUCCAUAAAUUAAUUUUAAUUUGACUUUGUCUUCUCAUAGAAUCUAAGUCACUUCAUUCAUCAAAUAAAAUUGUCCCCACUGAAAAACAGGUAUUAUACUGAAUUUGUGGAUAAAAGUCAAUGACCUAGUGAUUAGACCUGGGUCCCUGAGUAAGAUCUGUAGCUUUAGAAUGGCCCCAAGGGGGCGCACAGUGGCAGCCCACUGCUUCCUGAGAGAUGGGUUAUAUGCAGAGGAUAGAUUUUAUUGACAUGUGCAAAGUUUCAAUGACAAAUAAGAAUAAAGAUGGUUAUUAUAUAGAUUAUUAGAAAAAGGGGAUCACAUCAAAGUACUUAAACAGUGAAACAGUCUCCUGGAUUCAAACAAAUAAAGCAAAUCCUCCAGAGCACUUUUUCUUAGCUUUUAUUAAAAGGAAAACUUUAACAGUAAAAAUACUUGGCUGUAUACACUCCAAUGUAUCUGCAUUGCCUUGAUUUCUGAAUUGAGAGCUGUAGAAUGCUGAUUUUAGAUUUCAUUAAUAUAAAGGAUGUGGCUACUGUUACAAUCUGAAAUACUUAAGCCCCGCCACCUCGAAAGCCUCAGUAGUGUUGUGAAUGAAGUGCAAUAGCAAAAAACGUUUAGUUUUUUUCUUUCUUUUUAAUGUGGCCUGUCUGGCAGUGUAGCACUAAGAACUGCUUUCUUAGUGCCAAAGAGAGACCAACAAAUUUAGUUACACAAGUGGAACAUUACAUAGCAUUCAAUGGACACAGAUAAAAGAGGAAGAGAGAAAGAUGAGGCAAAACAUUAAAAGGGACAAAUGGGGACAAAAUAGAGCAGAGGAAAAAGAGGGUGCAAGAUUACAUCCUUGGAGUGUGUAACAAAUGGUACAUUUGCAGGAAACGCCAAGAUUUUACAUUUCCAAAUGUUUUCCAGAGCGUUCUCCUUGUCUUGAUCCCGCCAACAAUGUUUUUACAGCAAUCUCUUUGUUAUUCUCCUCUCAUUUUCGUCGUUUCAAUUAUUGCUGCCUUAAUAUUCCUUAAGUAAAGCAAUACUUCUGUGAAUUUACUUUUUAAAACUGUUUAGCAAUUAAAGUUAAAAACCACUGCUGUGGUGCACCAUGUCUUUGAAUGGACUUGUGUCAUUGUAUGCAUCAGUGGAAUUAAAGGAGAUUUAUAACUUGACCAAAAGACUGAAUUCAUCCCGACUUUUAUUGUAUAUAAUUCAGGAGGUGCAACGCAGUUUCUUUACAUUCAGAUCAAUAGGAUUCUGUUUUCGCUGUGUGCUUGACAUUUUCCUCUCUUCCAUUUUCACGCCUGUUUUGAAAUUAACGGUAAAACUGUGACCUAUUUACUGACUUUGACUUUAUGCAAAACUUCUGUUCUGUUGAUGCUAAAUGUGUAUAUUAUUGGAAUUGCUUAUUGAAAAAAAAUAGAUGUUGUUUAAGCCCAAUAAUGUUUCUAAAGCCCAUACUGAUCUGGGUCCUUUAUCAGAUUAUUUAACUCAGACAGCAACAAACCUGGAUGUGAGACUGGAUGAUUUUAAACUUGAUGCACAGAUUAAACCUGUAAUCAAGUCCAGCUGUUAUCAUUUGAGACAGUUGGCUAAAGUUAAACCUUUUAAUUCACGGCAUCAUCAUGAGAUUUUAAUUCGUGCUUUUCUUACGACUCAUUUAGAUUACUGUAAUGGUCUUUAUGUUGGGCUGAGCCAGUCUUUAAUUAACCGACUUCAGCUUGUUCAAAACACUGCUGCACUAAACUCAUACAGAGAAACAAGGACAUAUCACUCCUGUUGUGGCAUCACUUCAUUGGCUUUAAGUUCGAUUCCGAAUAGAUUUUAAAGUUAUUUUAGUUGUUUUUAAGUGUUUGCAUGGUCUUGCCCCUUAGUAACUGUCCCACCUGAGUCAAAUGUAUGCUCCCUCACCGCUUACUCAGGUCGGCAGAUCAGCCACCUGAGGAAGAUGAGAGGUGUGCAAGCAUUUUCAGUCACUGCCCUCAAACUGUGGAAUAAGCUGCCUCUGCAAAUCAGACAGGCUAAUUCACUUGCUGUUUUUAAAUCUUCUCCUAAAACACAUUAUUUUUCCUUGGCUCAGUUAGAGAAAUUGUCUUUUAUUUUUAUUAUAUAUUUUCAUUUUAUUGUUUUUAAUCUAUUAUUAUUAGUUUUAUAUUUCUGUAUUUUAUUUGUUUUUCUUGGUAUACAACAACGGUGUUGUACUGUAUUGUAAAACUCGAUAUCACUUUACAACAGGCCCAGUGUCUGUGGGUGGAAUAAUGAAGCAAUAGUCCAGGUGGUAUGCAAAUUUAUAUUUCAAACUACCUAAACUCUAAAAGUAUAAACUAGCUCAAAUAAAUUUUUAUCUUGGAUGGAAUAUAUAAUCAAUUGUCACAGUAUUGCACUGACUGAGUUUAGCCAAUGGGUUUCUCUUCUAUUUGACACGUUUCAAUUUGAUUUUUGUUGCAAAGUUUCUGUCAUUCAUGUGAAUCUGUGUUAGUUAUCAAAGAAUGGGUUCUAAAAUUUUGACUACACUUCUAAUCUGGGUCACACAAGGUUGUUAUUUGUCUCUAAAAUCUUAGAUUGCAUAGAUCCCAAGCUACAACAUUGUCUUGUACGGUCUUUUAACCCAUUCAUUUAAGUCACGUGUGUGGCAGCUGGGAUGAUAACUAACGUGCAGUACAGUGGGUCCCCAUGAACCACAAGUGAGAACCAUUAGUUUAAUCUUUAUAUUUGUUUUUUUAAGUGUUCUUUACCUCUGUUCCUACAUUUGACAAUAAAACCUCAUUAUUUAUCACGUGUAUUAAUUGUGCUGAUCAAAUAAACUUGCAUUGCCUUCUGCAAACAUGUUACUGUGAUGUGAUGAAUUUCACAGCUUGAUCCAAACCUUCAGGUUCUGAACUGUUCAGAGCAGAAGGUGUGGAGCUGCAGGGCUGCAGGUGAACAUGAUGAGGGUAAUUAGAGCAGCUGAGGCGCUGAUAUAAAGUCAGCUGCAGCCACAGAGCAGUUACAGCCCAAAGCUUUUCUCUUUCAGUGCUCAGCCUGGUCCACUUCUGUUGCCAUCUCAGACGUCAACAUGGUUCUUCAGGGUGGUUUCAAGAGCUCCUGGAUUUGCUUGCUGCUCUUCAGCAUUGCAGCUUGUGCUCCUGCA